This 28001-nucleotide long non-coding RNA is filed under the name Nicotiana tabacum (common tobacco). RNAcentral's name for it is "long non-coding RNA (NTAB_LNC013538)". Lineage: Eukaryota; Viridiplantae; Streptophyta; Magnoliopsida; Solanales; Solanaceae. The record is from RNAcentral.
GACCCAAACCGAUGGGCCGCGAUGGGCACCCGGUACCUUACUCGACCAAGUACCAACAUAAUGUAUCUUUCUAAUUACAUCAUCAUAUACACGUGACAUACGGGCCUAACAGGCCAACAUAAUCAUUUAUAAACUCAAAACAUAGGCUGACAAGGCCGUACAAUCUUUCACGUAUACGAUAUAAGUCUACAAGCCUCUAAGACUAGAUAAAUGUCAUAAAGGUCGGGAUAGAGUCCCACCAUACCAAACAAUACACGUCUAAAUCAUACUAACCAAACAAGCAACUCUGAAGCAAAUGGAGCGCAUCAACAUCUUCCGCUGAGCUAAUAGCCUACUUGGAGGGCUCUCGACCCAUCUAUCGGGACCUGCGGGCAUGAAACACAGCGUCACCAGGCAAAAGGGACGUCAGUACGAAUAUUUUACCGAGUAUGUAAGACACAUAAAUAAGUACAUAAGAGACAUGGAAGAAAUAUAGAAUACAUGACUUAACUUGUAAGUUUGAAUAAUUUUGUAAAUCAUAAAUUACUUUUAGCGUCAUGCAUAUGCGUAUGAAUGUCAUGUCGUGCAUAGGUACAUGUUUCAUAACAUCGUCAACCUUUGACGGCAUCCCAUCAUAUCAUAACGGCCACUGUGGGCAAAAUCAUCAUCGUAUAUCAGCUGAUCAGGUGGUGGUGCGUAUAUAAUGCCAUAACCUUUCUCAUAUCAUAUAUACAUAUAUAUACAUACAUAUAUACGCGUAUAUAACACCGUUUGAAUUAUAUUUACAUAUAUUCGCGUAUAUAACGCCAUUUGAAUCAUAUUUCAGCCACUGCGGGCAAUAUCAUCCUCAUAUACCAGCUGAUCAGGUGUUGGUGCGUAUAUAACACCGUAACCUUUUCUCAUUUCCCAUAUCCCAUAUACAUAUAUUUACAUAUAUACACGUAUAUAACGUCAUCUGGUCAUGGGUCAAUGCACAUGUAUGAAAUGCACGAAAAAUACGUAAUAAUCUCAAUACUCUUUCCGGAUAAAUUUUUCCAACUGCGUAUUAUUCUGAGACUCACGAGCAGAAGAUAAAAUAUUAUGACACACGGAAAUUCAAGAACAUGGAUAUCUCUAAUACUUCUAUGAAUAGAGUCAUUCAUGGAAUUUGUGCAUUUGCACGUCUCGUUCGUAUCGUAUGGAUCAUGCCAAAAGAAGAAGGGGUAGCCUUAACAUACCUGAGCUGAUUCUCUUGACAAUGCCUCUAACACAUGUCAAUUGCGAUAAAACACGUUACGGCGGAUCGAAGUAAUGAAAAACAAAUCCAUGUGAUAUUCUUGAGAAAGAUUGUACCGUACUCCAAGAGGCACAGAAGUUCCAUUUGAUACUACUAUAGUUGAGUACAACCACACCAGCUUCGUGUAACUCUGUGUGGACACAUCAAUAACUACAAGAACGAUAAAGCCAUUUUAUUCUCUAUUUUGUCGUUCCUUCCAUCAUUUAUACUAAUGUUUGACACAUUCUUAGUUGUAUUACUAUCAAACUUCCUUGAUGAUUUGGAAAAAUCAUCCUCAAAGUAUCUAAUACCAACAAGAUCCGUUGAAGUAGGAGUAGAAGGAAAUGGUGUUCCCUCAAGUUGAACAAUAAUAAAAUAAUAUGAUGGCUCCACCGAUUUUUGUCACCAAAUUGGUCAAAAGGGACAUGUGCAAUAUUCUUUGAAUAUGAGUUUGUCAUUAAGAUCUUGUGUUAUUUCAUGUAUGAACCUUAUUCACUUUAUCUUACUCCUUUGGAGACAUUUUGCAUAAAUUAUUCAAGCUUGGAGGAAUUUCUAACGGUGGUUGUAAGGUAUUUGAAGAUGUUAAAGAUGAAGUGUUAUGUAACUAACAUAUUUGUUUGCCACCUUUCAAUUCUAAUGUAAGAGUCACAAAUUCUUGGAAUGGGGAGCUUCCACGUUUUCACCUCGAUAAUUAUCCAAAUUUUUUAAUUAAUUUAAUUAGAAAAUAUCCCGCUACCCGGUAAUUAAACAAUUACCCGCAUAAUUUAAAAAUUGUAUCAAAUUACUUAAAUUCUACUUAUUUUUAAUAUACUUUAUAUGUAAUUUAUACCUUAUACUACCGUGAUCAUAUGGUACCUUACAUGGUACUAGUUUAUAAUUAUCGGGUAUUAUCGCUCAAAAUAUCGGUGGACCUGCAUUUUAUCCCAAAUGCCAAACUUGGACGAAAAUUCGUUUCCUUUGAAUUGCUUCCCCUCUCACCUUCACAAAUUUACUUAUUACUUGUUCGAAAUAGCAUAAUCCUUCUAAUCUCCGAAGAAUCUUUUCCUUGGACUGAUGUCAAUUACCUUACGACAAAUUCCACGUACAAUACUACAAGGUGCAACAUCGUAGUAAUGUAGUACUGCGAAAUCUGACAUCUCACUUCGGGGCUCUUAUUAAUUUAUUUAUGGCGUAUUUUCAUGUACGAAAAUAUGGGGUGUAAUAUCAUUUCCCCCCUUUGGAACAUUCGUCCUCGAAUGUUGACUGAUGCGCUUAUCGUUCUCAUAUCUCAUAGCUCUUUAGAAUACUUUAGUAGUCCUCUUGCCAUCUAGGAAAAUAUUCUGUGAAUAAGUCCAUAGGCCAGGGCAUCCCCCCCCCCUUUAGGCCUCUUCCCCACGCCAUGACUUGUGAUCGAAUUCCUUCCAAUCUCGUAACUAUUGCUACCUUCCAUCAUGCAACUUCUAUGAUAUUGACCUUGUAAGUGUGCCAAUGUGAAUCUCCUCUCCUUUUUCCUCCAGUUUUAGCCAAUCCUGAAGUUCUUCGCUUGGUAUUUUAUCGAAAUUACAAAUAUUGCUCUAUCUUAUUUUAUAGACCUGGUUAUCUAUUCGUAUAACUUUACUGCAUCUACAUUGGUCAUACUAUACCAUAACUCUUACCUCGACUUCUCGUUAUUGAGGUCUGCUACCAAUUCCCAAGUUACUUUCAUUGCUUAUCUCAUACGUAUAAAUCUAUGUUCUCUAAUGCUUCCACAUUACUGUUCAUCUUAAGAAGGACGACCUAAUCUCCUCUCAUACUUUAUAACUUUUAUCUAUCCAUUGUUGAUUCACCUCAAUUUUGAUCCAUAAUCCACUCCAGAUAACUUAACCUUUUAUGUAAUAUUGCUGCUAGGAUACACGUUUUAUCGGGGAACGUCUGAAAUGAUUAGAUUGAUCCACCGGGGGCGAUACCCUGCUUUCAUAACCGUAUCUCACGGCAUCCCAAUGUGAUUUACCUUGUGUGGGUAUUUUAAUCCUGUCCAAUUCAUGAGAUCCCUUUCUUUUAUUCGUCAGAACAUUACUCAAUCGAAGGCCCAAACAUCAUUUUUUCAUUUUUUUCUAUAAUAAUUACACCCUCAUUCUAUUAACAGGGCUGCAUUCCAUCUCUUCUUAAUGUUAUUAGUAUUAGACUCCUUUUGAGUUCAUUCAGGCUAUACUGACUUUCUAUAACUUAGAGAAACCAUUAGCUUUCUUAUUUUUAUNNNNNNNNNNNNNNNNNNNNNNNNNNNNNNNNNNNNNNNNNNNNNNNNNNNNNNNNNNNNNNNNNNNNNNNNNNNNNNNNNNNNNNNNNNNNNNNNNNNNNNNNNNNNNNNNNNNNNNNNNNNNNNNNNNNNNNNNNNNNNNNNNNNNNNNNNNNNNNNNNNNNNNNNNNNNNNNNNNNNNNNNNNNNNNNNNNNNNNNNNNNNNNNNNNNNNNNNNNNNNNNNNNNNNNNNNNNNNNNNNNNNNNNNNNNNNNNNNNNNNNNNNNNNNNNNNNNNNNNNNNNNNNNNNNNNNNNNNNNNNNNNNNNNNNNNNNNNNNNNNNNNNNNNNNNNNNNNNNNNNNNNNNNNNNNNNNNNNNNNNNNNNNNNNNNNNNNNNNNNNNNNNNNNNNNNNNNNNNNNNNNNNNNNNNNNNNNNNNNNNNNNNNNNNNNNNNNNNNNNNNNNNNNNNNNNNNNNNNNNNNNNNNNNNNNNNNNNNNNNNNNNNNNNNNNNNNNNNNNNNNNNNNNNNNNNNNNNNNNNNNNNNNNNNNNNNNNNNNNNNNNNNNNNNNNNNNNNNNNNNNNNNNNNNNNNNNNNNNNNNNNNNNNNNNNNNNNNNNNNNNNNNNNNNNNNNNNNNNNNNNNNNNNNNNNNNNNNNNNNNNNNNNNNNNNNNNNNNNNNNNNNNNNNNNNNNNNNNNNNNNNNNNNNNNNNNNNNNNNNNNNNNNNNNNNNNNNNNNNNNNNNNNNNNNNNNNNNNNNNNNNNNNNNNNNNNNNNNNNNNNNNNNNNNNNNNNNNNNNNNNNNNNNNNNNNNNNNNNNNNNNNNNNNNNNNNNNNNNNNNNNNNNNNNNNNNNNNNNNNNNNNNNNNNNNNNNNNNNNNNNNNNNNNNNNNNNNNNNNNNNNNNNNNNNNNNNNNNNNNNNNNNNNNNNNNNNNNNNNNNNNNNNNNNNACCUUCCUUCUACUUGCUUGCACCCUAGAUUUCCUUAUGUUGUUCUGGAGCAUCAAGCGAGACAUCACAUCGUCUCUAACUAUCCUUUACUCUCAUAAUCAGUCUUCUCAAUACCUAGACCAUAGGCUGGAAGAUAUGCUACUGACGUCGUUGCUAUCAUUCCCGGAUAUUGAAUCCCCGCACUUAGAGACUUCUAUCUGAAGUAUGGAUUAUUCACAAUCUUCUGCCUUUGAGUAUCUCGUACGUUGUUCACCUUUACCUUACUUACCUUAAAAUUUUGCAUCGUAUCUUCUAUCUCUUUCAUGACCUUCCCUCCACAUAGGUAUAAUUCACGUCCAUAACUUGAAGCUCUAUUAUAAUACUCGCACCUCUGCUACAUACACUAUCUGAUGAGAGCUUCGUACUGACUUCUUAUGAGGUUGGUACUUCUUCUAACUGGCUUUCUUGUAAAGCCAUUAUAGAUUAUGGUUGUUAUGUUAUUUUCCUUGAACAUCUGAUAUUAAGAGUGAUUCUUUCAUGUUCUCAAGCACAACUUCUAUAAUUUUUCUAGGCCCAAUAAUCAGACUCUUGAUUUACUUGGGUGAUGUGAUUCUUUAGCUUCAUCUUCCUUCCGAUCAGCCUUUAUGUAGGUUUAAGCUACCUUCCGAUUUGUGACUCUUGGUAUCAGUUAUUACCUUAGCCUUUCAUGGGCGUUAUGGAAUAUCCAUGAUGCAAUCUUUUAACAAUUCAAUCAUUUGUCUAUGCCCUGGGCUCAAUUCUUCUUUUUAACUUAUACCAGAGUCUUCUAUGGCUGUAUGAUUGCCAACAAAUAUAAUGCUCCAAAAUCUUGAGUAUGUCUAUAACGUACUAACUCUGGAUCAUUGAUCGAAUAAUUCCUUUCGUUCCAUCUCAGCUCUCUUAAAACGUAUGCAAUUAAUUUUCAUGGUCUUUCUGUCCCCUUGUUGCGUCCAUACAUAGCUUAUCAUAGUGCCUACACUUGCCAUAGUUUUCAUACAACUAAUAUGAUCUCGAAUAUUACUUUUAAUUCUUACUUCCCGUUCAUUAGCCACGGUAGGUGCCAUUUUCCUUUGGAAUGCUUACAAUGUUAUUGAGAGAUUAUUGUUACACGACCAUUUCCUCUUUAGGUCGUUGUGCUUAAGUUGAAGUCUUCUUCCUUAUUUCCUCAGCUAGUCUUUCGUUGUAGUACUUAGGGAGAACCCUUGACUCUCCUAAAGCUAUGAGCUUAUUACGGACCCUUUUUGAUGUCCUUACUUGCCUCUAAUCAUUCGUAGUUGCUUACUCUCAUGCCCUUGAGCUUGUAUGGUUGCUUCUAAACUGACGUUUUGAUUGCCUUCUCAGUGGCACUUUCUUUUAUCCCCGUAACACUCAUACAGUACUUUUAACUACCCCGACUCCUAUUUGAAUAUAUCUCAAGUAUUAUAAUGAUAUUCUUUGAGGCUGAAAUCUCUAUGUUAGGUUCUACUAUGUUUAUGUUACAUGAUCUGAUGACUCGUCUGUAACCCCAUGUUUAGUCAUAACUGGGAUCUUCCUGACCAAUUACUAACUACUCGUUGGCCCAUUAUCAUGUCAACAUUCCUCGUAAUCUUUCUUGGGUUAUUUCCUUUGUCUUAACUUACGUCUCACACUGACUCCUUAUUUAUUAAUAACAGCUCGAGCAGGAACCUUCACUUCCUUUCCUUGACAUCGUUCUUGCACAAUAUUCUUGAAUCGUAGCGUAUCUGUAAGAUUUGGAUAAGUGUCAUCUCAUUCCUCUUUCAUUUAUCGCAUUCUUCCUUUACCAUUCUAUAGUCACUAGAACCACUUAAUUUUGACUUAAUGUCACAUCACUCCAUAUUCCUCCCUUUAUGGGUGUAUCAAGACUUGGAGCUAUGACGACCUGCCUAUAGAUGUUUUUCCUCUUCAUCUUUGGCGUCCUCUCACAUUAUCAAUGACCCUUACUCACCUUGCGGUAAUCCUUUUGUACCAAGGAUAACAAAAUCUCUCGCUCGUGAAGGUGACACUUAGUGUAACUGGCACAUACAGUCUCUUAAGCUUAACUUUGCUCACAUUUCUUCCUUUAGGGAAGCAUCUCCCUGAAUGACCAUUUUCUGAACUCAUCAUGGAUCUUCUUCUGUUGUCCAUUCUGUUAUUGCCGGAAUGCAAUCUGCAAUUCUCAUGAUGCUGACUAUCAUCAAAUCACUCAAUUCCUUAUUCAUAUUUAAUUUAUCUUGUUCACCAAUCCAUACCGAUUUCUAUUAUUCUGGGAUUUAAUUUUCCCUUCUGGUAAUCACGUUAGAGUCACGAGUUUAUUCCCCGAAAUGAGAAUGUGAUUAUAUAGCCUACACUAUUUUGUUAUCUUAAGGCCCAUCACCUUUUGUCUCUUUCUUCAUUUGACUAUAGGUUCUGUAAUACUCUACCGUUAUCAUUCAUGUAUCACACCUUAUUCAUAAUGCUUUCUUAUCACUCUUCUCAUUACUCUGCUAUUAUUUCUGCAUAUCCCUUUUCUUGUGAAAACUUCAACACGACAUUCUCUCACUUUUAGCUUCCCUUUGCUCCAUCCAAUGGCUCUUUGGGUUGCUCAACAUCCUCGCUCUACUAGGGAUGAGAGCCGCACUUAAGGUAAUAUUUAUCCCAUCUAGGCUUUCACUGCCUAUCUUCUGAAUGCUAGUAUUCACAUCUAAUCGUAAUAUUCUAGGGUGCACCAUCUCGGUGUCUCACAAGAAUAUCUAUUGGCACAUUUGUAAUACCCUUUGAAAAUGCCAACAAAUGAAAGUAAUCCAUUUACCAAUUUGGGUUACUCUAACCCCAGUCGGAUCUUGAUAUCACAUCCUUCUCUUAACUAUAUUUGUUAGCCCCCAUAGGGCAUAACUGAGAUGGUUACGGCCAAUUGUACAUAUCUCUGUUACUAUUGAUGGUAACUCUUAAUGCUUAUAUUUUUCUGUCAAAACUGUAAUAUUGAUAAUCUUCAUUAACUGGGUGCCCCGUAUCCUUCUUCAACUUGCUUCUUUUGCUUGUUGAAACUUGUAUUUAUCUUCUUAAUCCCUCAUUGUCUUUUACCAUAAAGGUGGAUAUGCAUUCUUGCCUUAAGGCUCCUUAAAAAGAGGCUUACACCUUUCAGUAUGCACAUGAUCUGCUGAAGACCUCAUAUUUACUUAUCAUAAGCAUGAUACAAAGUCGAGUUCCUCUAACUCAACACAUUCACAGCUAUAUCCCUUUCCAACCUUCUUUCCGAAUGUAGAUAUCAUUUUAUUACGAAUAAAAUAGAAUUUCAGAAUUUGAAUUCUUAUAAAUGAGCUCUACCACAUAAUCUAGAAUAAGAAGAAAGAGUGGCAAUCCUAAAUGCCCUGUAGCCUACUGCUUAUAAGUGUGGUGCAUGACACACCCAUAAACAAGACUCUACUAGACACGACUUGUAGGCACCCCUAAAAAAGUACUGCUUUGAUACCACUUUUGUCACGACCCAACACGAUGGGCUGCGAUGGGCACCCGGUACCUUACUCGACCAAGUACCAACAUAACAUAUCUUUUUUAUUACAUCAUCAUAUACACGUGACAUACGGGCCUAACAGGCCAACAUAAUCAUUUAUAAACUCAAAAUAUAGGCCGACAAUGUCGUACAAUCUUUCACGUAUAUGACAUAUGUCUACAAGCAUCUAAGACUACAUAAAUGUCAUAAAGGUCGGGAUAGAGUCCUGCCAUACCAAACAAUACACGUCUAAAUCAUACUAACCAAACAAGCAAAUUUGAAGCAAAUGGAGUGCACCAACAUCUUCCGCUGAGCUGAUAGCCUACUUGGAGGGCUCUCAACCCAUCUAUCGGGACCUGCGGGCAUGAAACGCAGCGUCACCAGCCAAAAGGGACGUCAGUACGAAUAAUGUACCGAGUAUGUAAGGCACAUAAAUAAGUAUAUAAGAGACAUGGAAGAAAUAUAGAGUAUAUGACUCAACUUGUAAGUCUGAAUAACUUUGUAAAUCAUAAAUUACUUUUAGCGCCAUGCAUAUGCGUAUGAAUGUCAUGUCGUGCAUAGGUACAUGUUUCAUAACAUCAUCAACCUCUGAGGGCAUCCUAUCAUAUCAUAUCGGCCACUGUGGGCAAAAUCAUCAUCGUAUACCAGCUGAUCAGGUAGUGGUGCGUAUAUAAUGCCAUAACCUUUCCCAUAUCCUAUAUACAUAUAUAUACAUACAUAUAUACGUGUAUAUAACGCCGUUUGAAUCAUAUUUACAUAUAUACGCAUAUAUAACGCCAUUUGAAUCAUAUUUCAGCCACUGUGGGCAACAUCAUCCUCAUAUACCAGCUGAUCAGGUGUUGGUGCGUAUAUAACGCCGUAACCUUUUCUCAUAUGCCAUAUACAUAUAUUUACAUAUAUACGCGUAUAUAACGUCAUCUGGUCAUGGGUCAAUGCACAUGUAUGAAAUGCAUGAAAAAUACGUAAUAAUCUCAAUACUCCUUCCGGAUAAAUUUUUCCAACUGCGUAUUAUUAUGAGACUCACGAGAAGAAGAUAAAAUAUUAUGACACACGGAAAUUCAAGAACAUAGAUAUCUCUAAUACUUCUAUGAAUAGAGUCAUUCAUGGAAUUUGUGCAUUUGCACGUCUCGUUCGUAUCGUAUGGAUCAUGUCAAAAGAAAGAAGGGAUAUCAUUAACAUACCUGAGCCGAUUCUCUUGACAAUGCCUCUAACACAUGUCAAUUGCGAUAAAACAUGUUACGGCGGAUCGAAGUAGUGAAAAACAAAUACAUGUGAUAUUCUUGAGAAAGAUUGUACCGUACUCCAAGAGGCACAGAAGUUCCAUUUGAUACUACUAUAGUUGAGUACAACCACACCAGCUUCGUGUAACUCUGUAUGGACACAUCAAUAGCUACAGGAACGAUAAAGCCAUUUUAUUCUCUAUUCUGCCGUUCCUUCCAUCAUUUAUACUAGUGUUUGGCACAUUCUUAAUUGUAUUACUAUCAAACUUCCUUGAUGAUUUGGAAAAAUCAUCCUCAAAGUAUCUAAUACCAACAAGAUCCAUUGAAGUAGGAGUAGAAGGAAAUGGUGCUCCCUCAAGUUGAACAAUAAUAAAAUAAUAUGAUGACUCCACCGAUUUUUGUCACCAAAUUGGUCAAAAGGGACAUGUGCAAUAUUCUUUGAAUAUGAGUUUGUCAUUAAGAUCUUGUCUUGUUUCAUGUAUGAACCUUAUUCACUUUAUCUUACUCCUUUGGAGACAUUCUGUAGAAAUUAUUCAAGCUUGGAGGAAUUUCUAACAGUGGUUGUAAGGUAUUUGAAUAUGUUAAAAAUGAAGUGUUAUGUAACUAACAUAUUUGUUUGCCACCUUUCAAUUCUAAUGUAGGAGUCACAAAUUCUUGGAAUGGGGAGCUUCCACGUUCUCACCUCGAUAAUUAUCAAAAAAAAAUUAAUUAAUUUAAUUAGAAAUAUCCCGCUACCCGGUAAUUAACCAAUUACCCGCAUAAUUUAAAAAUUGUAUCAAAUUACUUAAAAUUCUACUUAUUUUUAAUAUACUUUAUAUGUAAUUUAUACCUUAUACUACCGUGAUCAUAUGGUACCUUACAUGGUACUAGUUUAUAAUUAUCGGGUAUUAUCGCUCGAAAUUCCGUUGGACUCGUAUUUUAUCCCAAAUGCCAAACUUGGACGAAAAUUCGUUUCCUUUGAAUUGCUUCCCCUCUCACCUUCACGAAUUUACUUAGUACUUGUUUGAAAUAGCAUAAUCCUUAUAAUCUCCGAAUAAUCUUUUCCUUGGACUGAUGUCAAUUAUCUUACGACAAAUUCAACGAACAAUACUGCAGGGUGCAACAUCGUGGUAAUGUAGUACUGCGAAAUGUGACAUCUCACUUCGGGGCUCUUAUUAAUUUAUUUAUGGCGUAUUUUCAUGUACGAAAAUAUGGGAUGUAACAAUUUGCGUCGGUGUUUUGUUCAACUGGUCGAUGACCGAGUAUUCCUUGGCCUGUAUCUUUCUCCAAAGAUCGUCUGACCCUGUCUCAAUGAUGGGUGACCAAUUGGAAGCUUGCUUGCUUGACUCAGCCAGAUAUUCCGGGGUAUAAACUCUACCAGUUCUUGCCAUACCUUGUGCCGCAAUAGUUUUUUCGAACCCAACCUUACCUUUCCUUAUUGCCUCGGCUGUAUAGUCUCAUGGUAUAGCCUUUGUAUGGAAUGGUGUCGUGGUCGACAUUGCCACUGGGAUUGGCGUGGUUGUCCUUACUCCGAAUGGAGCAUGCCCCUUGAGUGGUAAAAUUGCAACUUCAAACGGUGCAGGUGCAUUUGCCGGAGACAUGAAUUCGACCUCAAUUGUCGCUGGUGUUUUUGCAGAUGACGUUGCUUCAAACUCAAGUGGCAGAGACAUAUUUACCUCGGUGUCCCCAGAUGGUUGAAUCUAGACUAUGAUUGGAAUAAGAGUAACUAUCGGCUUCUUUGGGUCAUCGCCUUCUGCGAUCAACCCGAUUGAUCCCUCGGGAUCCCAAUCAUCCUCUAUUUCAAUCAUGUGAAUGCCUCUGCCCUUAUGAUCGGGUAGAGGAUUGUUGUGGAUAUUUGGAGCGGGUUCCUUUGCCAUAAUAAUCUUUUUAUCAAUUAAAGUCUGGAUCUUGUCUUUCAAGGAAUGAUAUCCGUCGAUGGUGUGCUCUUUCAUGCCGGAGUGGUAUGCACAGGAUUUGUUUGGGUUAACCCACUGAGAAGGGUUCUCAAGAGUUGCAGCAGGGAUGGGGGUAAGAUUACCAGCAACUUUGAGUCUCUCGUACAAUUGGUCAAUAGGUUCAGCAAUGGCUGUAUAUUGUUUCGGAGGUCUUCGAUCAAAGUUUGGUCGGGGUCUAGGGAAGUUUUGACGGGCGGGAGGUGACUGAUAAUGGUAUGGUUGAGCAUUGUAAGUUUGGUAGACAUGUGCGGGUUGGGAAUAUCCGGGAAAAGUAGGCUGAUAUAUAGGAGGUGGGGUGGUGGUGAUUGAUAAGUGAUGGUGGAGCAUGGUAAGAGGGUGAGGGUGCUUGGUAGUUCGGAGUAGGCUGAUAUGUGAGUAGAGGUGUUGGGUAAGUUUGGUAUUUCAUAGGAGAUUUGGUCCUUUGUGCAACCAUCACGGCUCCUACGUCCCUUUUCUUGGACACACCACCAGACUGCAAGGCCUUAUUUAUAGCUGGCAAGGCCUCGAAGUUUGUAACCAUACCGCUUUUGAUACCUUCUUCAAUUCUUUCACCCAGUUUGAUGAUGUCGGAAAAUUUGUGGCUUUCAAUCAUCAUCAAUCGUUCAUAAUACUACGGGUCCUGAGCCCGGACAAAGAAUUUGUUCAUCUGUUCCUCCUCUAGAGCAGGUAUGACCUUAGCAACUUCGGACCUCCAGCGAGUAGCAUACUCGCGAAAUGUUUCUGUAGGCUUCUUCUUUAGAUUCUGAAUAUAGAACAUAUCCGGCGCAUUCUCGGUGUUAAAACUGAACAUGUCCAUAAAGUCAGUUGUCAUGCUUACCCAAUUUGACCACUUCUUUGGAUCUUGGCUGAUGUACCAAGACAAAGCAUCUCCUUUCAAGACAAAGCAUCUCCUUUCAAACUCCUCAUGAAAAGCUUCAUACGGAUCUUUUCGCCUUUCCCUACUCCAACCAGCUUGUCGUAGUACGCCCUCAAAUAGACCCUUGGAUCCCCUGUACCAUCAAACAUCUCAAACUUAGGAGGUUUGUACCCCUCGGGCAGUUCGACAUUGGGUUGCAUGCAAAGAUCUUCAUAGUUCAGCCCCUCAAUUCUCUUGCUUCCUUCAACGCCUUGAAUCCGGCUAGUCAAUUUCUUAAGUUCCCCAGCCAGGUUCCUGAUGAGCAAGUCUUUAUCGUCAGAUUUGGGUGUCCUUGAGAUGGGUUGGGUGGAGUGUGACAUGGUCUCCACGUAGAUGGGAGUGUUAUGGUGGGUAUGAAAGUGGUCAUUUUUAGAGUUUUGGAGUUCUGAGAUGAGUAGCGGAGUGUUAUUUGGGUAUGGCAAGUAUUACAUUGGGUCUUCAGUGGAACAGUGUGGGGAGCGGGAUGAUUCUGUUGCUUUGUGUGGUGUAAGGUUUUGAGUAUUGGGAAAGGUGAUAUCCGGGGUGCUGAGGGAAAAUGACAAGCUUGCCAGAUUCCAACCUAAUCGAGUUCUUCCUGAAAUUUCAGCAAUUUCUGUUCAAGUUGGGAUACAUUUUCCUGAGUACCAUGACCAUUGGCGGCCUCUACCUGUUCAGUUACAUUCUCCCUUCUAACGUUGUUCAAAUCUUCCAUUUUGCCUUUUGUUCUUGUUUUUGACAGGACUAAGAGAAGGAGUGGGUGGAGGGCCCCUGGAUCUCGUGGAAUAAGAUGAUGUUGCCAGAGUGCACGAACUAACCUUUGGGGAGGGAAAUAAUAAAACAAAAAGUAAAAACAAAAAGGUAACCAAGUUAGUGGGGAUUAUAAUAAGUGUUGCAAUAUUUAAACACAUAAUGCAAGAAUGUAAAUCGUGUCCUGAUUUGGGAACCUCUUUGUACCCGAGGUAGGCCUAGCGACAGAUUGAUUUGGAGAACUUAGAAUGCUAAAUACCUCAUUUCAUUGAUAAAAAGUAGAUGAAUCCCAAAUUGACACUAAAUAAACAGGAAAUGAGAAUCAUUAAUGGACAUUGACCUUAUUACAUUUUAUAAAGCGAAAAGAAAAACUCCUAUCUACUUGGUCCUAGAAAGACCCUCCCAAGAUUCGGCAUCCUUGGCUCCGUCGAACAGCUUUCCCAACUCGCGAAGUCCCAGCAAUAGGUAGGCCCUGUCUAGAUGUCCGCCUUCGAUUCCUUCAGCAUUUUGGCAGUCUUCAACCCUCUUGAGAAACUUUCUUUCCAAUUCCACUGUGCCUCGUUCCAGGUAUCCCAGUCGCUUGUUGGCACUGGCAGCUAUGCCCUUCCAUUCCUCAAUUAGUUUCUGGUUGGACUCUUGUAUUUCGUGGUGUUCACUUUCGCACUCACGAAUUCUUUUGCGCAGUUGAUUGUAUUUAACCUGUACCUCGGCCCUUUCAUCUAUGAUCAUGUGACCUCGAGCAAACCCUGGCUGGCCCAGACCAUCAUGAUUAUCUUCUAACUAACCUGAGUAGAAAGGAGCGCAGCCAGCAUGAUACCUCUCUGACUCGAUGGUAUCCCUCACCAUUAUGAUCUUGUAGUGCCACAUAUGCUGAGCUUGGCACUUGUAAGGACUAUCAUCAUUCUGGAAAUCAGCCCGGAAAUGACUUAUCUUGUCGACCCUGGGUAUAACCUGCUUCCUACUAGCUUGUCUCAUAACUCAGAGAGGGACGUAAGGGUAUGUUCCUCUCAGCCCAAUCAAUUCGAGAUUGGGCGAUGAGCUUCUCGGUCGGAAACCAUUCGAACAUCCAUUAUACCUGGUCCUCAGUUAGAUUAUCAAAUAGCUCUACCCAUCCUCUGGCAUCUUCUGGCUGAGCAAACAUAUUGGGCAUGUAAUUCACUCGCCUCGGAUGAUGGAAAGCGAUAUGAUCAUCCUAGUCCCUUCGCUGAAUCUCUUGUCGGUAUUCACCCCCUUGGAGAUGUUCCACGAGCUAGAGUUGAAGUAAUAAAUUGCAGCCUUCGAAAUGUUUUGCUCCUCAUUGACACUUCUCCAAGGUUCGAUAUAUGUCGGCAACGAUCAUGGGCACAAUGCUGAAUGGCUGCCCACCGAUCCCUUCCAUUAAAGUCUUAGUUACCAUAGCCAACCUGGUGUGGAUUCUUGCUUUCUUCAUCGAAAACACGAUAAGCCCCAGGAAACAAAACAUGAAUACAAAGACUCUUCGGUGAAUGUGCCCUAAUGAUGUGAUGGCAAACUCGUCAAGAUAGGUACGAUAGGAUUUGUUGUGACCGUACCUCUCAUACAAAUAGUCAAAGGGGAUGUAGGAUUCUUUCAAAUAUGUCAGCUUUGGAUUCUUCUUCAAACCCAUCAUUUUGAGGAAGUCCCUGCCAUUGCGGUUCUCAUGCAUUAACAAACCCAGAGUUUCCCACGCUAUACCGGCCAAUCCUCCUAUCUGUUCUAGCAAGGGUGUCAUUUCAAUGUCCCCGAAGCGGAAUACGGUCCUCUCACAAUCCCAGAACAAAGUAGUAGCUUCUAUGAUCUUGUUGUUGGGUUGGAUCUCUAGGAGAGAAGGUAGAUUCCCCAAAUAUUUUCGGACAAGAGGUUGAUCACUAGAGUGAAGAUCCUCCCACCAGCUUAGCAGUCUUGGGUGGAUAUUGGUGGCCAUGCCGAAUCUAGGGAUUUCGUGCCUCAUUUCUGCAAGAAAAAUAAGGUUAUGCCCUUACCCCCACCAGACUCAACUAUUUAAUACCAACAAUUAGCAUGAAGCAUUUAGUUCUCCAAAUAAAUAUACAGAACGUGGUGACGUCCGUUUAGGCUCAGGAAAACCCAGUGGACUUUUGUCAAGGCUGUCUUAAAAUGUCAUUAUGUGGACAACAUAACUGACCCGACUAGGUUUGACCAUGAUGCAUGCACAGUUUAAACAAAGUAAGGUUUCUAUAGGGUUUUAGACUGGUACCCUUGAGCGGACAACUCAAGGGGAAAAGGCACAGAACAAUCAACUGCACCGCUGAUCGACUGAUUUAACCGCAAAUAUGCUUUUUCCGAAUUUAGAGGAUAAUAAUAUAGGAAGAGCGCAACCAAUCAUUAUAAGCGCUGCUAUGAUAUUUUAUUUAGCACGAGUGGAGUAUGAUGUUGAGCAUGAUUAUGCAAUAAUUAAAAGCAUGUUGACAUGUAUUUGCAGAUUAAGAAAGCAGUAAAUACAGUAGUUUCAUAAUUUAAAGCAAUAGUAAAAGAAAGAAACAAAGAAGACAAGUCAGUUUUGCAGUUGAAAAGGAAAUUGAAUGCUUAAAGGAAUUAAACAAGUAGUUGCAUAUAAAGAGGUAUAAAUUCACAAUAACAGUCUGGAAUGGUAAAAGCCUAAAUGUCCCCAGCAGAGUCAACAUGCUGUCGCGCCCCCUUUUUCCCCUCUUGGUGCAAUCAAGAGGUCGGAUUUGUGACAUUUGGUAUGGGACAACUCAUUCCUUUUGGAAACUGGGUUUUGCAUUUAAAGAGUCGUCACCUAAUGAUUUUAAGGUGCAUUAGGACACCUAUAAGGGUUCACUUCUAAGUUUGUUGAUAACCAGAGAUAGGGUAAGGGCAUGAAAUUAUCCUAAGGGGAAGGUGUUAGACACCCCUCAGGAUCCAUUAGUGUAGUUCCCGACCAGACGGUUUAUUGUGAAUUUGUGCAAUUAGCAAGUAAUCAAAUAAGGCUCAAAUAAAAGGGGAUUUAAAUUUGAACACAUAAGAGUUAGAAAGAACAACUAAAAGUAGAGUUCUGAAAAGAAGUUUGCAAAUAAAAAGGGAAAGGGAGACCUAGGUUUAAAUAUAAUAUAGAUCACAUCAAUGCGAUACCCGGUAUGACACUCCUCAGAAAAGGGGAUACACGUGGCAUUAUCCCACCGGUCAUCAUAUCCAUAUCUACUCUUCCCACACCGUUAAGGUAUUAAAGCGCGGAUUGGUCUCGAUCUCUAUUGCAUGCUAUUACCCAUCCCAAUCCUAUCAGUCCCGGAGGAACUUAGGACUACUAUUCCUAAAGGGAAGGGAUAUUAGGCUGACUUUUGAUUUCAAAAAAGUGAAAAAAUCUAAGGCGACAUACAAAACACAUAAUACUGCACAUUAGGGGGAAACAUGUAAACAAAUAAAGGCUCAUGUAUAUCUCCUCAAGUGAAACACAUAAAUAGCAUGACUUAAACAUACCUUUAGGGUCUGAAUACUAAGGUAAGGGAAUUCCAAUUUGUUGAGGCAAACCAGUUUAUUACAUAACUCAGAUAAGAAAUUCGAAUCAGGCAUGCCUGCUGGUUGUAGCAGUUAUUGAUUAAACAAAGGCGGAUUCAAUUUUAUGGUUAUUAUCAUUUAAGGCUUGCCUAAGUGUUUAGGUGAGAUCCUAUAGACAUGGUAUCUAUACAGAAUGAGGCAAAGCAGUAACAAUUGAAGACGAAUGAUUUGAAAUCUUACAGGCAUGCUUUAUAAACCGUACUAAUAGGCGGUGAGAGAGUUGUUUAAAAACUAGUUGAGGACAACUGAUUUUAGAUUAGUCUGAUUUCGAAUUCUAUAAACACUGAUUAUUACUAAUUUAAUUCAUAUAGACAUAAUAUCUAGUCGAACGUGAAUUGAAGGCAUGCAAUAUUCCUAUAGGCAUGAUUUCUACGAAAGGGGGUAUUGAUUUUAAACAAUGACAUGAUAUCUGAUUUUUAACCAGUUAGUUCCUAAGCAUGGUUUUUAAGUGUGGUAAUGCAGAAAUUAAAACAAGUCCUAUAGACAGGUCCUCUAAAUGCAGAGUUCGAUAUGCAGAUUUUAAGUCCUAUAGGCAUAUUCUCUAGAUGUAGAACAUACAGAAUUUUGAUGAAAGUAGAUCUUAUAGGCAUGGUAUCUAGAUGCAGAGUUAAACAUGCAGAACAACAGAUUUUAUAGGCAUGAUAUCUAGAUGCAGAGUUAAACAUGCAGAAUUUUAGGUCCUAUAAAUAUGAUAUCUACCCUUCAGCCCCUUUUCACUGGCCAAGCCCCAAAUGUUUAUUACAAAGUAUUACAAAACUAAAUAAUGAAUUACAUCAAGGAAGUAUAAAAGAAAGAGUUACAAUUAGAGGAAGUUUGAUUCUUGACUUCCUCUCUGAGUUAUGGAAUAAACCACCUCAAAUGUCAUUGUUUCAAAGCCCUUCUUAGACUUGAGUGUGUCAAAGUUCCCUAAGGGUCUCAAUAGGACCCCAGGCAGUGUUCACACCCAAGUUGCAUAACUAGAUAAAUGAGUGCAGUGGGAAGGGUCAGCCCUUAUGUGUCCAAGUUCAGAGGGAGCUCAUGGGUCCCAAGGCAAGGCUCACAUAAGAGGGGCAGAACUAAGUCUAAGAAUAUGGUGGAAGUGCAGAAGCAGAGAUUUGUUUACAAAAGACAGGAUUGAGAAUAGUAAGGGAUAAGGGUAGUUUAAAAAAACACUAGUAGUGAAGCACAAUAUCAGCAAUUGCACAAAGGGGCAGGGGUUUGGGAAUACAUUGUAGAUGGCAUGCGACCCUGAAAAGGGGUUAAGUCUGGACAUGCACAGCAAUAAGUGAAGCUGGCAUGCCCAUAAACCAGCCAAAAGCAUAACACAUAAAGAGGAUAUGAAGCAUAUGACCCAGGGAGGGUCAGGUUUAGGUCAUGCACAGCAAUGUCUGAUGCUGACAUGCCCUCAACCAACCAAAGAAUACAAACACAUAGGGGAUGGGGGUUUGGGAUUCAUAAGUAACUGACAGAUUUCAUUUAUAAGGGAAAUAUUAAUUCAGAAAAGGAAAGGGCAGAUUAUAGCAUGCUUAGGAAUGAAACUCGAUUAAACACAAGCAGGAAACAGGCAAGAGUGCAGGAAAUAGUAAAUAAACAUGUUUAUGUUGAUGCUGAAGAUUAAUCAGAACAUACCAGUAAAAAAGCAAAUGCUAAAGAAAAGCAGGCAAAUUUCCUCAGUCUAGCCUUGCCUCAGAGCCAACUAGAUAAGGCAGCAACACAAGCAGUAACAAAGAAAAGAGAAAGAGAGAGCUUUUAGUGAAGUGUGUUCUGAACUCAAGUGUUCGUAUUCCUUGUGUUCGUGUCCCUUGUGUUCGUGUCUUUGAAAGAAAAGGGGUGUAGGGUAUUUAUAGCCUUUAAAACAUGUGAGAAAUAAGGUAAUAAGUAAAGUUCAAUACAAAUAUAGAAAUAAUCAACAUCCAGAAUCAAUCAACCAAGUGAUUUCCCUAUAAUUGAGGAAUCACUUGGCUAACAGAUUCAAAAUAAGGAAAGAACAUCAGUUUGUAGGCGGACUGAUUAUUGCCAUAAAAGCAAUGGUAAAACAUUAAGUAAGCAAUUGAGUCUAAGUACAGAAAUAUACUUAUUUUGGGAAAGGAUUCAGCAAGGCAAAAUAAGGAAAGGAAUCAAUUAACCUUGACAGACGAGUGAAAUUAGAAUUUGUAAAAGAAAGGUUUUGAAAUCAUUUACGAGAUUGAAGAUCAAUUAAAAAAGUAACAUGUUGCUGCACUUCAGUAUUUAAACAGGGUGAGCAGGGACACCAGACAUGCGAGGCCAAAUUCAUUGGCAAAAGAGACAGCAUACAGUAGUAGCACAAAGUUCAGUAGAUAGCAAACAUUCGAAGCAUAAUAGUCAAAUAGGUCAAGUCCAAUUGAAUCGAUAGUGGAGAAAAAAUAGUGUAUCAGAAGCAUGCAAAGGUCCCACAGUAACAUAUGAGAAACCUUUUGAAAAGUUAGGGAAAUCACAUAAAGGAAAAAGAGAACAAAGAACUUCAAAUCGAGUCAUGUAUUCAAGCGAACAGUUUCAAACCUAAAGACAUAGUUUUUCUCAACAAUAGCAAAGCUUAAAAGAUGAUAAAUAAACAAAUCAGACAAAAACUUAACUAAACAAGCACUCGCCUGACAAACAGCCAAAAGAAAUUAGGGUUUUUAGCAUGCUAACUCAGAGAGAAGAACACGAGCAAAACAAAGCAAAACAUGCCAAAAAUCAGAGAAGAGAUUUGAAAUAACUUAACAGGAAAACCCUAAUCGGGAAAGAUAAAGAGUUUUGAAAGCAAAGUUGAAGAAACUUCGAGAAAAAUGCUUAAAAGUUCAAAGCAAGCAUAGAUCUAAAAUAGAUCUAAAAGAAAUCAAAACGUCUUAGAGAUUAGGGUUUCAGAAGAAUCCAAAAGCAACGAGAAAGGUCAUGAAAGUUACCGAUCUAACCGGGAGAGUCAAUGGUCUGACUCGAAUGGCCAUGGCUGGCCGGAGAAAGGUCAAAGAUGACCGGAGAAGGAUCAUGAACUAAAAUCGAACGAAGGCUAGAUCAGAGUUCUUCAUAGUUUGGCCUUUAAACCAUAAGGACAAACACAUAGGAGCCAUGGAAGGCUAGUACAGGUCUCCAAUGACCUCGGAAGGCCAUAGAUUAAGUAGAUAUCAAGGUGGAUUAGGGUGGCGGUGGCUAUGGUCUAGGUGGUGUUGCAGAGAGAAUUGAGAGAGAAAAGGAUUCAAGGGCGGUGGUAUGUGAGAAAUGAAUCGAGUGGGUCAUUUAAUUGGGUUGAGGGUCGGGUAUGAGUAGGAAUUGGAUCGGGGUAAAUUGGGCUUAAAUUGGGGUAGAAGUAGGCUAAAUUGAAAUGACAUCUGGCUAGAUUUUAAAUAGUCAUUUUUCCCAUUUAUUUUAUAAAAAAUAGUAAAUCAAAUUCUGGAAAUAAAUUGAAAGUAAUAAAAUGAUUUAUAACAUAUAAUUAUCAAUUUAAAAAUACUGGACUUAAUUUUUAUAAAUGUAAACGCAAUUAAAUCCUAAAAGAGGCUAAUAUUGCAAUUAUAUGCAAUUUAGCUUUAAAAAUACUAAAUAAAUUUAUAAAAAUAUGAAAAAAUCAUCUUGGCUAUAUUUUAACAUAAAUAUGAGAAUCCAAUAAAUAAAUCACCAAAAAUGAUAAUUGUAGAAAAUAUUAUUGGAUUUUUAUGAAUAAAAUAGGGGAAUAAAUUCGUUUAAAAAUCUUCAAAAAAUUAAGGAAAAAUAAUAAGACAUUUGGACAUACUUAUAUAUGCAUACAAAUGUUAUUCUAAAAGUAUUUUGCAUAUUAAAAAUAUAUAGGAAAAAUUGGGUAUCAACGGCAGUUUGAACAAGUAAAGCAAUUAAGUCACUUAGACAUGCUUCCCUACACUAACAUUAGGCUUAAAUUGCAAGUAAUAUACAACAAAAGGAGAAAAACACAAUUAUAGUUACUUAAUGAAAUUAGGAUUUUCAACAAUUAGCACAUGUACGUACUCGUCACCACACGUACAAGGCAUUUCAUAUAUCAACAAUACCAAAUCCUAAGGGGAGUUCCCCCACACAAGUUAGGCAAGUCACUUACCUCGAACCAGCUCAAUCAACUCGAUAUCACGUUUUUUGCCACGAGUACCCAACUCCAAAUGGCCCAAAUCAAUUCAAAGCAAUUGCAUAAUGUAAAUAUAACUUCAACCAACUAAUUCAACUAGUUAAUUCGAAGCUAAUACGUGAAAUUAGGAAAAUCGCCCAAAAAGUCCCUCGGGCCCACGUCAAUCUGGUAAAAUUUACAAAUUCAGAAUUCUAACACUCUCACGAGUUCAUACACACCAAAAAUACGAGAAUCGGACCACAAAAAACCCCUCAAAUCCCCAAUUCCAAGUCUCCAAUUUCAAACCCUAAACCCCCAAAUUUAACCCUUAUUUCCCCUAUAUUCCUUGCCCAAAUAAGUAUAAAAUAUAAUAAUAAUAAUAAUAAUGAGUUUGGGUUCCAAAAAUCUUACCUCCUCGAAACUCUCUUGAAUCCUUUCUCAUAAACCUCCCAAAAGCUCAAAAAUUCGGAUGAAAAUGGUGAAGAAAAUGGGUAAAAUCGCAACUGAACCUUUAUAUAGGUUCUGGCCCAGGAUUUCUGCACCUGCGGACAUUUCCUCGCACCUGCGAACCCGCACAUGCGGUCCCAGGUGCGCAUCUGCGAGAUUUCAUUAAUUGCCCUGGGCUGCACCUAUGCUUCUUCUACCGCACAUGCGGUCUCGCAGGUGCGCUCGAACUACCGCAUCUGCGUCUCCUCAAUAGCUUCUGCGAUCACGCACUUGUGGUCCCCUAACCGCAGGUGCGGUUAUGACAGAACUUCAGCAACCUUCAAAUUUCUCCUAAGUUCAAUUCUACUUCCGGUAAGCACCCGAAACUUGUCGAGACCCCCAGGAUCUCAACCAAACAUGCCAACAAGUCACCUAACACUAUUUAAACUUUUACCAACCCUUGGAACACUCAAAACAACGCCGAAACACCAAAUCAUCCUCAGGUUCAAGCCUAAGGAUUCCAAAACCUCCAAAUUCCGCAUUCGAUCAAAAAGUCUAUCAAACCUCGUCCGAAUUACCUAAAAUUUUGCACAAACGUCCCAAAUGACACGACGGACCUACUCCAACUUUCGGAAUUCCAUUCCGACCCCGAUAUCAAAAUCUCACUAUUCCAUUGCUACCCAGGCUUCAAUCUGGUCGGUCGAUUAAAGACCUCGGGGUCGAUAUCCAGCUCGAGCUCGAGCUAUCGAGAGUAACCGGGAAAGGGAUAAUAGUUAAGAUAUGAUUAAAGAAGAAUCUUUUAUGGCCAAUACCAAGCGAUAAAUGAAGAACAAGUAUAAAAACAAUAAAUGGAAAGAGUAGCCUCGAGCAAGUGAGUUAGAGAGAAAAAAAAAAGAGAGAUAUUAUUGAUCUUGUGUAGAGGGGAUAGAGCAACAGCGGCCCUUUACAAAGUGGUGUGGAUUCCCUUCAUAUAGGAGGGGAAUCCGGUUAUAGUACAACAUAUAUUAAUUAUAAAAGCAUGGAUAUGGGACGGCUAGACGUGACGCCUAGACACAAGCUCUAGGUAGGUCGGCUCUGUCAGGCUUAGCCACGUGCCUUGGGAAUUCCCCUUUUUGCUCUAGCCUCGAUCUUUGUCUUCUUUGAGUCGGGCCUCGACGAGCCCCGAGGGAGGGGACUCGGUCGCAACUCCACGCCCUCGGGGUCUCGGGAUAUUCUUCCGAAGUGACUUGAUAGGAGAAAUUAGGCCCUCUGAUUUCGCCGAAUACAGAUAGUCUCCGCGUUUCUCAGAACGAAGCGAUGGGAAACGACUCUGACACCCGGUUCCUCGAGCUUCUUAUGGCGACAUCAUACUGAUGACUCAACCUAUGGGGCAAGUUUUUGUGAUAACCGGUACAUCACAUAGACUUGUGUUUUCGUCAUCAUUCAAUGCAUUGUCGCUUCCCGUUCUCCAAGGUGAAAGUACCGCCGUCGAUUCGGUUCUUCAAGAACGCAGUAAUUGCGCCCGCCGGUCAACCUUUUGAGUGCGAUAAUGGCAUCGUCGACUACUUUGCCCUCCUGCCCUAUAAAUGGGGAUUCUUAUGAUCAGUCUUUCAUCCAAGCAUCCUUCAAUAUCUAUCAUUUCCUCCUUCCUUGCUAUUUUUGUUCUUUGUUGUCUCACCAUGUUGUGGCCCAUGGCCUCAAGAUCUUAUGUCGACAUCAUGCAUGCUACGGCUCGACUCUUGGACCUUCUCCGAUCGGAAGAAUUUUUGUUGUUGCGAUGCUAUUGUUAUUGUUGUUGUUGUUAUUGUUGUUGUUGUUGUUGUCUCCGUUAGCUCAAGGUGAUGAAGCAGGGGACCGAUUUUCUCUGACCCGAGAAGGUACUUGGGUUAUGCACCGCUGCUCAAGAGGGGGCUCGGAUUAUACACCGCUGCUCACCCUCAUUGUUUCACUUGCCAUGUUGAAUCCGUUAAGGACCCUAGUGGCGGGCACGAUUUGGUUGAGCAAUCCAAGCUGCUCUAUCACCCUCGACCUGACAAUAUUAGCCGAGCUACCUGGAUCCACGAGUACACAUUUUAUUUGAAAAGAAUUUACAAGGAAGGAGAUUAUCAGUGCGUCAUUGUGGGGUUAAGAUAGGGUCUCGGUAUCCUCUUCACUGAAUGUGAGGGUGUCCUCGGGGAUAUAUCCCGGAUCCGCUUUUCUCUGGUGAUGGAUAUUUUUGUUCUUCUCAUUACGGGUUCCUGCGGGGCAUCGGCGCCUCCCAUGAUCAUGUGGAUGACAUGUUGUAGCUCAUUUGCCUCUUCUUGGUUGUCUCCCUUUCUCUGAACUGAUUUUUGGCUCGAUCGCUAAGGAGUUCCCGGAGAUGUCCUUUGUUAAGCAGUCGAGCUACCUCAUCUCGUAGCUGAUGACAAUCCUCGGUCCUGUGGCCGUACAUGUUGUGAAACUCGCAUACUAAGUUGUAAUUCCUUUGUGAAGGAUCUGACUGUAUAGGUUUGGGCCACUUGGCGUCUCUGAUUUUACUUAUGGCGAACACGAUGUCUGACACAUCGACGUUGAAGUUGUAUUCUAACAAGUGGGGCGCACCCAUUGUCACUACAUUUCGAUCAAACCUGGUUCUGUUGAUGAGCCCUCGAGGGUCCUGUCCUUGUUCCACUCUCCGAUCAUUGCGAGGUAAGUUGCGCCUCGGGGGUGUUCCUCCUAUCUUUAAGGUAUGGCUGAUACCUUUCUUUGUUUGGUUUCGGUUCCUUUGCCAGGAGCCUGCUUGGGUAUACUGAGCCUGAAGGGGCUCCCAACUGGUCAUCCUCGACCCUGAUCUUCAACUGGUACCAGUUGUGGACGUCCGACCAGGUCACGGUUGGAUACUCGAUCAGGUUUUGUUUCAGCUAUUUUGAAGCCACCGAGCUUCGUUCGUUCAGACCUUGGGUGAAGGCCUGCACUGCCCAGUCAUCGGAGAAUGGCGGUAGCUCCAUCCAUUCCAUCUGAAAGCGAGACACAAAUUCCCACAGCAUCUCGUUCUCUUUGCUUGAUUUUGAAAACGUCGGACUUUCUCGUCGGUACCUUGAUGGCACCGGCAUGUGCCUUUACGAAUGAGUCUGCUAGCAUGGCAAAUGAAUAUAUGGAAUUAGGAUCCAAGUUAUGAUACCACAUCAUGGCCUCCUUCGAGAGCGUUUCCCGAAUUUUUUCAGCAAUACAGACUCGAUCUUAUCAUUCUUUAUAUUGUUGCCUUUUACCGCAUAUGUGCAGGCAGUAAUGUGUUCAUUAGGGUCGGUGGUUCCGUUGUACUUAGGGAGUUCCGGCAUUCCGAACUUCUUUGGGAUGGGUUUCGGGGCCGCUUCCUCGGGGAACGGCCUUUGUAUGAACCUCUUCGAAUCCACGCUGCUUCUUCGACCCUAGAGUUGUAGGUCUUGACCUUCUUAUCGUUGGCUGCUAUCAUUUUCUCGCCCAAUUCGAUCCUUUUGGUGAGAUCCUCAAGCAUUUUUACUAUGGCAGGGUUGGCUAUCGACCCGUUAUUGCUCGAUCUCUCGGGUACCUGUUCGGCUGGGGGAGCUGUUUCUGGCGUUGCUGUGCUGGGAGUCUUUGGCUGGCUUUGUAAUUGAGCAAUGGCCAACUGUUGUGCGUGCAACAUUUCAAAAAUAACAUGAAGACUAACUUCUUGUUCUUCCUGGGCUGGGAUUUUUUGGGCUUCAUGUUGGCCGUCAUGCCGUAUGCUAUUGUCGGUGUGUAAGGUUUUGUUGACCUGUUGUGCGUCCUGUGAAUUAGCGUCCGCUAAAAUCGGUCUGAGCGCGCUAUCAAGAUUCUGUGGUGGUGCGCCGACAGCCGGAACAGCCACGUCGUUUUCCCUGUGGAUUUCGAGGUUGUCGUUCUCAACUCUGUUUACCGAGCCAGACAUUUUGACCUGUAAUCAAAAUAUCUCGAACAACAAAAAACGUGAAAGAUAACUUGCAUUUGUGUAAUGAAACCAGUAAGAAAAUAAUCACUAUUAUUUUUAGCCUCACGGUAGGCGCCAAACUGUUUACUGUGAAAAUGGUAACAACAAUUAAAUUUGUAAAUGGGACUCUAAAAAUACGUGAUCUAUUUUUAUGUUAGUUGUUAGAGCAGUUGAUGUUAGGCAUAUGAAGUUUAAUUAUGAAAUACGAGUUAAAACGAGGCAGUGAUCGAACCGAGGGGCUUGCUACCCGAGCUUCGGUUUGGUCGAUGAAAGACCUCGGGGUCGAUAUCCGGCUCGAGCUCAAGCUAUCGGGAGUAAUCGGGAAAGGGAUAAUAGUUAAAUGAUUAAAGAAGACUCUUUAUGGCCAAUACCAAUCGAUAAAUGAAGAACAAGUAUGAAAGCAAUAAAUGGAAAGAGUAGCCUCGAGCAAGUGAGUUAGAGAGAAAAGGGAGAGAGAGAUAUUAUUGAUCUUGUGUAGAGGGGAUAGAGCAACAGCGACCCUUUACAAAGUGGUGCGGAUUCCCUUUAUAUAGGAGUGAAAUCUGGUUAUAGUACAACAUAUAUUAAUUAUAAAAGUAUGGAUAUGGGACGGCUAGACGUGACGCCUAGACAUGGGCUCUGGGUAGGCCGGCUCUAUCAGGCUUAGCCGCGUGCCUCGGGAAUUCCCCUUUCCUCUAGCCUCGAUCUUCGUCUUCUUUGAGUCAGGCCUCGACGAGCCCCGAGGGAGGAGACUCGGUCGCAACUCCAUGUCCUCGGGGUCUCGGGAUAUUCUUCCGAAGUGACUUGAUAGCAAGAAAUUAGGCCCUCUGAUUUCGCCGCAUACAGCGACAUUUAGCACAUUAGACCCAAAAAUGAAACAUCAAACAAUCACAAGAAAUCCAAGCAUAACAGUAUUCUAAGCUCGAAUUAUGAACCCUGAACCAGAAGCUCUAGGUUCGUUUCCCCAGCAGAGUCGCUAAAGCUGUCACACCGUCUUUUUACAGGAAAAUGAGUUUUGUCACUUUAAGUGACAUAUUUGAAAUGUGAUUACUUAUUUUAAUUAUAGAGUCGCCGCUUGGAAUAAUUAUUGAGGUGUCCCAAGUCACCGAUUUAUUUUAAAAUCCCAAUUGAAGGAAAUUUUGACUCUGUUAAAGUCUGUGAAACAUAGAAGACCGAGUAAGGAAUUUUAUUAACCUGGGAGAAGAUGUGAGGCACUUCCAAAUUCCGUGAUUUUAGUAUGGUCGCUUACAAUUAAACUCGACUUAAUUAUCUGAUCAUUACAUGUUUUUAACCUAUGUGCAUUCGUACCUUUUACUGCUUUAUUGUAUAUUUUAAGUAGUUAUGGAUUUUAUUUAAAACAAGCUACAAUAUCGCACAAUUGUUGUUUGUACACACUGCAAGCCACACUACGUGAAAUGCACCCAUGAUUUAUAAUAUAUUAAUUAUUAAUUAUUUGAAGUCGUAGGGUACUUGCAUUUAAAUUUGGGAUUACGUAUUGUAGUUAUGCCAUGAGAGUUGUACCCAUAACCAUGACAAUUAAAUUAUUCAAUGCACGCCUAAAGCAACUAGCGAUGUUCAUGAAUUAAUUUCCCUAAAACUAGCUUGGGAUUAUUUUGAGGUCAAGAGUUUAUGGAAAUUAUUUGUGAAAGAAGAGAAGUAAAUUGGUUAUGAAAAUGUGGGUUAGCCUUGGCAGACUUCCCUAUUGGGCACAACUACGUGAUGACCUCAAUGUAAACCAAUUUGGAGAUACUAAAAAAUUCCCUUACACACAAAUCCUUUUGCUAUUAUAUUUAUCUACUUUAUCAAAACUCAUUCUUAGAUUCUAUGAACAAUAUAGUAUCCUAACUUAAGAAACCAACAUUAUAAGUACUCAUUAAAUUAAUCCAAAAUAAAGAUGAAUAAGAUUGAGAAAUACCAAACACUAAGAUGGACAGCUAACAUGGUAAACGGCAAAACUAAUCUAAAACAAAGCAAGCAAGCAAAUUUAAAUGAACAAACCUACCUGUUAGCAAAUAAAUAAAACUCAUGAAACGUCCUCACCUAUCUCGAACAGAGCAAGCAAAAUGUUUAAAUCACUCAAAGAGCAAAAUAAGAAUCCAUACGUGCGUUCCUAAGAAUUCUGAACUACCAAGAAGACACUUAAUUUUCAAAGAAUUUAAGAAACAGAAUAGGGAACCAAAUCUCUAGCUGACUUCAAGAACGAGAGAAACAAUUAGAAUAUUUACACAAGAUCCACCUUAGUGGCCAGCCAUAGAAAAUCUGAUCAAUCCCUCUUAACAACUCAGCGUCAAUGAUCCAAUAACACCAUAACAAUUGAUAAACAAAAUGAAAUCACAUGUGAAAGCAUGCUAAGAGAGAAGAGAGGAUCCAUCAACAAAAUUCAUCAAGCUAUUGUAAUAAGAUGAGAUAAGAACAAAAAGGACCUUUCAUAGAUGCAUCUGAGCUUCAAUUCUUUGACAACUAUUGAAGCUUAAACACCAACAAAAUCGUGUACAAGACCUCAACAGAAAAUCGACCAAAUCGCCGAAAACUCAAAGCUGACUCAGGAAACUCACUAAAAUCCAAUGACUUUACACGGCUGAAAUGGAGCUUAAACUGCAGCUCUUUUAGUGAUGUAAGAAGUUGGUUUUCGGACUAUUUUAAUGGAGGUUUUGCUAUGUUUUUGGACUGGUUUUAGGACUGUGUUACGGGGGAAAUAGAGCUGGGUUUGGGGUGAAUUUAGGGAGUGUUUUAAGUUAGUUUCAAGCUGAGAUUUGUAGAGGAUUUCACUAUUUUUGGUGAAGCAGUGCAUUUUCGCUACUGCUAUGAGUAAGGAGAAGCAAUCACAUUUUCCUUUCCCGUUUUCCCCGUUUUUUCUCUUUUUUCUCCCAAUUAUCCUUAUGUCCUCCGAUUUAGCUAUUAUAAUGAUUUUCGAUGAAUUCCAUAAGCGCGUGUGGGUGAAAAUUAACUGAACAAAUGAUUCAAUUUGAAAUAAAUCUAGAUCUUCACAAUUCUGAGCACGAAUGUCUCCAUGAAUUCAAACAAGCUUUUAAUAACUUGUAUGAAUCUACGAAAAUCAGAAUUUUUUUUACAUUUAAACACUUGAAUAUUUAAUAAGCACAUGAAAAUCAAAACUCAAACAAGAGCAGAUAGUUCAUUAACAUAGAUGAGAUAGAAUUACAGAGUAAUUGAUGUAUUUACCUCUCAGCAGGAGAUACAAGAGCAAACAACCAAAUAAAAGCUGGGAUGUGAGAAUGGAGUUUAGACCACUAAUUUUCAGCGAAGGAAUGCAAAGCAACAACAAUUUCAGAAGCUCAAUCUGCCUUCAAAAUUCCAGAAAUCAUGUGAUAAACUAAUGCAACUUGAUGUUUUAAGAACCACAGAUCUGUGUGAAAACUUGUUAAUUCAAGAAAAAUUUCCUAGCUUUUUUGUAUGUGUUCGUGAGUGGGUGUGUAUUUCUAGAGGUAUCUGUGAAUGAAGAUGAGAGUGAAGGUCUAUUCGUGGAAGUGUGGGUCAAUCCGUGUGAGGGGAGCUUCCUUCUCUUUCUUUUGGAGUGAAAUGAGGUGGGGUUGUU